RNAcentral lists this ribosomal RNA (309 nucleotides) under Triticum aestivum (bread wheat). RNAcentral's name for it is "partial small subunit ribosomal RNA". Lineage: Eukaryota; Viridiplantae; Streptophyta; Magnoliopsida; Poales; Poaceae. The record is from RNAcentral.
AUGAAGGGCCUCAUAGUUCGGCUAUGGCCUAAGGAGGCCAUGCCUGGGAGCUACUUCGGCCUGGUGCAGCGGCUGGUGGAUGCGUGCCCGUGGGUUGAAGUCAUCAAGCACUCCGCCUGUAUUGAAGGUUCCCGUCGGGCCCUUGCCCGCGCAAAGGUGCACUGGGGCAAGAUGGAUGCCCAGAAGCUUGUGACGGACCCACCACCAGAGGGCAAGGAGUAUCAUACGCCCGAGAUGUAUUAUAAGAGUGUGCUGAAGGGCGCCCGCACUAUUGCGGGUGAGUGCUCCAAAGAUGUAAUAUUUGAGUAG